RNAcentral lists this ribosomal RNA (339 nucleotides) under Marinobacter sp. 6-7. Its description in RNAcentral is "bacterial SSU rRNA". It matches the Rfam family "Bacterial small subunit ribosomal RNA", at positions 53 to 390 of the family's 1533-position model. The record is from RNAcentral. Lineage: Bacteria; Pseudomonadati; Pseudomonadota; Gammaproteobacteria; Pseudomonadales; Marinobacteraceae.
ACAUGCAAGUCGAGCGGUAACAGGGGAAGCUUGCUUCCCGCUGACGAGCGGCGGACGGGUGAGUAAUGCUUAGGAAUCUGCCCAGUAGUGGGGGAUAGCCCGGGGAAACCCGGAUUAAUACCGCAUACGUCCUACGGGAGAAAGCAGGGGAUCUUCGGACCUUGCGCUAUUGGAUGAGCCUAAGUCGGAUUAGCUAGUUGGUGGGGUAAAGGCCUACCAAGGCGACGAUCCGUAGCUGGUCUGAGAGGAUGAUCAGCCACAUCGGGACUGAGACACGGCCCGAACUCCUACGGGAGGCAGCAGUGGGGAAUAUUGGACAAUGGGGGCAACCCUGAUCCA